Molecule: ribosomal RNA, 253 nt
Filed under: uncultured bacterium
Lineage: Bacteria
Description: partial 16S ribosomal RNA
Rfam family: Bacterial small subunit ribosomal RNA
Source: RNAcentral
UACGGAGGGUGCAAGCGUUGCUCGGAAUUAUUGGGCGUAAAGGGUAGGUAGGUGGUCUUAUUUGUCUGGGGUGAAAGCCUUGAGCUUAACUCAAGAAGUGCCCCAGAAACGGUGAGACUAGAGUCCUGGAGAGGGUCGUGGAAUUCCCGGUGUAGCGGUGAAAUUCGUAGAUAUUGGGAAGAACACCGGUGGCGAAGGCGGCUCUCUGGACCGAUACUGACGCUGAGGCGCGAAAGCGUGGGGAGCAAACAGG